Molecule: ribosomal RNA, 497 nt
Filed under: uncultured bacterium
Lineage: Bacteria
Description: partial 16S ribosomal RNA
Rfam family: Bacterial small subunit ribosomal RNA
Source: RNAcentral
GAUGAACGCUGGCGGCGUGCCUAAUACAUGCAAGUCGAGCGAACGGACGAGAAGCUUGCUUCUCUGAUGUUAGCGGCGGACGGGUGAGUAACACGUGGAUAACCUACCUAUAAGACUGGGAUAACUUCGGGAAACCGGAGCUAAUACCGGAUAAUAUUUUGAACCGCAUGGUUCAAAAGUGAAAGACGGUCUUGCUGUCACUUAUAGAUGGAUCCGCGCUGCAUUAGCUAGUUGGUAAGGUAACGGCUUACCAAGGCAACGAUGCAUAGCCGACCUGAGAGGGUGAGCGGCCACACUGGAACUGAGACACGGUCCAGACUCCUACGGGAGGCAGCAGUAGGGAAUCUUCCGCAAUGGGCGAAAGCCUGACGGAGCAAGGCCGCGUGAGUGAUGAAGGUCUUCGGAUCGUAAAACUCUGUUAUUAGGGAAGAACAUAUGUGUAAGUAACUGUGCACAUCUUGACGGUACCUAAUCAGAAAGCCACGGCUAACUACGUG